Molecule: ribosomal RNA, 453 nt
Filed under: uncultured bacterium
Lineage: Bacteria
Description: bacterial SSU rRNA
Rfam family: Bacterial small subunit ribosomal RNA
Source: RNAcentral
UACGGAAGGCAGCAGUGGGGAAUAUUGCACAAUGGGCGCAAGCCUGAUGCAGCCAUGCCGCGUGUAUGAAGAAGGCCUUCGGGUUGUAAAGUACUUUCAGUCGUGAGGAAGGUGUUAAGGUUAAUAACCUUAGCAAUUGACGUUAGCGACAGAAGAAGCACCGGCUAACUCCGUGCCAGCAGCCGCGGUAAUACGGAGGGUGCGAGCGUUAAUCGGAAUUACUGGGCGUAAAGGGCACGCAGGCGGUUAAUUAAGUUGGAUGUGAAAUCCCCGGGCUUAACCUGGGAAUGGCAUUCAAGCUGGUUAGCUAGAGUCUUGUAGAGGGGGUAGAAUUCCAUGUGUAGCGGUGAAAUGCGUAGAGAUGUGGAGGAAUACCGGUGGCGAAGGCGGCCCCUGGGACAAAGACUGACGCUCAUGUGCGAAAGCGUGGGGAGCAAACAGGGAUUAGAUACC